AACUUAGCGGUUCGGCAAUACAGACCGACAGAAUACGUACUAGACUUACAAAGAUUAAGUCCUAGGGUCGAUUUCUUCGACUAAAGGCGUUGCUCCAGCAUGGCCGCCGUCAUAUGACUGAAAAAAAUGAGAGUAGAGUAAAAGAGUAUCGUACCUUUAUGUGUGUGUGUGUGUGUGCGCGCCCCACUGGAGAGAAAUAUGAGGAACGAAGUGUAUAAAUGUUAAAGAAAAUAAUUGUUGUUGCUCUUAUAGAGAGAAAGGUAAUUUCUACUUGCAGAUACUGGUAUUGCUUACGUUUAAGGAUUACUUGUGGUGGUUGACCAGACAACAAAUUACACUGGGAUCAAGUCCACUCUGGGGAAGAGAGAUAAGGUAUCCAGCCUGUCUUGUUGCGGAGUUAUUCUGCUGGGGAUUUUAAUACGACUGAAGAAAUGAACGAUCAACUGAGCAAUUUAGUAACCCUCAGGGUUUGAAAUAAACGAAAGCCAAUGUCUAUAUUUGGGAAGACACAAUAAUGUCUUAUAUAAUUACUUUAUGGAAGACAAUAUUACUUUUAUAAAGUUCAGCAUGACUGAAUCUUGCUUUCACAUUUUUUGUUGCCCGUGUGAAUGAAGCUCUGCUAUGUCUUUGUAUAUUUCUUAUUUCAGUUUCAAUUUAGUCCAACAAUUGUUGUGAAAAGAGACGAUUCAAAAUAUAUUUCUUGACAUCCAAAUAUA
This is a long non-coding RNA of Octopus bimaculoides (California two-spot octopus), 716 nucleotides long. The record is from RefSeq and is a predicted model, not a curated record. Lineage: Eukaryota; Metazoa; Mollusca; Cephalopoda; Octopoda; Octopodidae.